CGGCGUGCCUAACACAUGCAAGUCGAGCGGAGUCGGUAAGAGGAAGUUUCGGAUGGAAUCUUAUGAUUAGCGGCGGACGGGUGAGUAACGCGUGAGCGACCAACCUUGCACAGGGGGAUAACGGACCGAAAGGUUCACUAAUACCGCAUGAGACCACGGUGUUGCAUGACACAGAGGUCAAAGGAGCAAUCCGGUGCAAGACGGGCUCGCGUCCGAUUAGGUAGUUGGAGGGUAACGGCCCACCAAGCCUAUGAUCGGUAGCCGACCUGAGAGGGUGAUCGGCCACAUUGGAACUGAGAUACGGUCCAAACUCCUACGGGAGGCAGCAGUGGGGAAUAUUGGGCAAUGGGGGGAAACCCUGACCCAGCAACGCCGCGUGAAGGAAGAAGGUUUUCGGAUUGUAAACUUCUGUCCUUGGUGAAGAGAAGAAGACGGUAGCCAAGGAGGAAGCCCCGGCUAACUACGUGCCAGCCGCCGC
RNAcentral lists this ribosomal RNA (478 nucleotides) under uncultured bacterium. RNAcentral describes it as "bacterial SSU rRNA". It matches the Rfam family "Bacterial small subunit ribosomal RNA", at positions 40 to 518 of the family's 1533-position model. The record is from RNAcentral.